GAGGUGGGCAAGUUAGUUGCUCCAAAAACAAGAUAAAAUGAUUGAGUUCUUUUCUCAAGCGGGAGUCGGAGUUUAUCUGCUCUGAGAGCCCCAGCAGCUACUAUUAAUGAGUGUCUGGAAUAUGUUCCUGGCAUUUCACCUACCCUCUCUCCAAUCCUUCCAAGAAACUCACAAAGCAGGGCUUUUUCUUGAACUUCUCUUCCUCACAACAGUUAAAUCAUCCAUUUAAAGAUGUCAAACAACCUCCGUGUUCUAAGAACUAUUUACUGAGCUCUACGGAGACACAGCUACAAGCACCACAUGCUGGACCCCUGAAUAUGGAGGGCCAACUACACUAGAAACACACACGCUAGCUGAGAAAGAUGGUGGCUUAAGGGGAAAAAGAAAGAAAGGGGAGUAGAAAUAGAAGAAAAGAAAUGAGAAGGAGAAAACAAAGGAGAAGGAAAACGAGAAAAGAAAAAUGUAGGAAAAAGUUGUAAGUGCUUACUACAUGCUGUGCCCAUAUUACACAGAGCGCACAUUUUCCAGCUUAGUCUUCACAGAAUGCUGCCAGUGUUAUGAUCCUCAUUUUAACAAUGAAGAAACUGGGAGAUUUGUUCAAAGUUACACACUAGUAAAAAAGUAAAUCUUGAGUGCAACAUAGGU
RNAcentral lists this long non-coding RNA (645 nucleotides) under Homo sapiens (human). Its description in RNAcentral is "long intergenic non-protein coding RNA 472". The record is from RNAcentral. Lineage: Eukaryota; Metazoa; Chordata; Mammalia; Primates; Hominidae.